UGGGGAAUUUUGGACAAUGGGCGAAAGCCUGAUCCAGCAAUGCCGCGUGUGUGAAGAAGGCCUUCGGGUUGUAAAGCACUUUUGUCCGGAAAGAAAUCCUUGGCUCUAAUACAGUCGGGGGAUGACGGUACCGGAAGAAUAAGCACCGGCUAACUACGUGCCAGCAGCCGCGGUAAUACGUAGGGUGCAAGCGUUAAUCGGAAUUACUGGGCGUAAAGCGUGCGCAGGCGGUUUGCUAAGACCGAUGUGAAAUCCCCGGGCUCAACCUGGGAACUGCAUUGGUGACUGGCAGGCUAGAGUAUGGCAGAGGGGGGUAGAAUUCCACGUGUAGCAGUGAAAUGCGUAGAGAUGUGGAGGAAUACCGAUGGCGAAGGCAGCCCCCUGGGCCAAUACUGACGCUCAUGCACGAAAGCGUGGGGGAGCAAACAGGAUUAGAUACCCUGGUAGUCCACGCCCUAAACGAUGUCAACUAGUUGUUGGGGACUUCAUUUCCUUAGUAACGUAGCUAACGCGUGAAGUUGACCGCCUGGGGAGUACGGUCGUCAAGAUUAAAACUUAAAUGAAUUGACGGGGUCAUAGCUGUUUCC
Molecule: ribosomal RNA, 587 nt
Filed under: uncultured bacterium
Lineage: Bacteria
Description: partial 16S ribosomal RNA
Rfam family: Bacterial small subunit ribosomal RNA
Source: RNAcentral